AGAUUGAACGCUGGCGGCAGGCCUAACACAUGCAAGUCGAGCGGUAGAGAGGUGCUUGCAUCUCUUGAGAGCGGCGGACGGGUGAGUAAUGCCUAGGAAUCUGCCUAGUGGUGGGGAUAACGUUCGGAAACGGACGCUAAUACCGCAUACGUCCUACGGGAGAAAGCGGGGGACCUUCGGGCCUCGCGCCAUUAGAUGAGCCUAGGUCGGAUUAGCUAGUUGGUGAGGUAAUGGCUCACCAAGGCGACGAUCCGUAACUGGUCUGAGAGGAAUGAUCAGUCACACUGGAACUG
This 293-nucleotide ribosomal RNA is filed under the name uncultured soil bacterium. RNAcentral's name for it is "partial 16S ribosomal RNA". It matches the Rfam family "Bacterial small subunit ribosomal RNA", at positions 26 to 321 of the family's 1533-position model. The record is from RNAcentral.